This 253-nucleotide ribosomal RNA is filed under the name uncultured bacterium. Its description in RNAcentral is "partial 16S ribosomal RNA". It matches the Rfam family "Bacterial small subunit ribosomal RNA", at positions 524 to 776 of the family's 1533-position model. The record is from RNAcentral.
UACAGAGGGUGCAAGCGUUGUUCGGAAUUAUUGGGCGUAAAGCGCGUGUAGGCGGCCUUGCAAGUCGGGUGUGGAAUCCCUCAGCUUAACUGAGGAAGUGCGCCCGAAACUGCAGAGCUUGAGUGCCGGAGAGGGUGGCGGAAUUCCCCAAGUAGAGGUGAAAUUCGUAGAUAUGGGGAGGAACACCGGUGGCGAAGGCGGCCACCUGGCCGGUAACUGACGCUGAGACGCGAAAGCAUGGGGAGCAAACAGG